RNAcentral lists this long non-coding RNA (452 nucleotides) under Brassica napus (rape). RNAcentral describes it as "long non-coding RNA (BNAP_LNC012039)". The record is from RNAcentral. Lineage: Eukaryota; Viridiplantae; Streptophyta; Magnoliopsida; Brassicales; Brassicaceae.
AAUCAUAAAAAAGUCAAUAACAAUUACAAAAAAAAAACUUCACAAAAAAAAAAAAUAAUUUUUUUUAUUAAUAAAAUAAAUAUAAAAUACAGAAAAUAUAAAAAAUCAAAACAAAUCAUUCACGAGAAUCAUCUGAAGAUAAUGAUUUUUUCUAAUCUGAUUUAGAGUAAUCAUAACCCAUAGACUAACUGCUAUUUUGGAUUUUUUUAAUAUGUUAUCUUUUGUGUUUGUGUUGGUUGGAUUUGGGAAAGUUCAGGAUUGUUAAAAAGAAUAAUGUAUAUUAAUGAUAGCUUGAGGGUAGCCGGUUUAUAGCACUCAAUGCACGCUAUUCCUUAGUCGCUUUUAUAAAACAAUAUAUAAUUUUAUUCUUGAUUUUUGGGAAUUUUAUGAUUUGUUCUGAUUUUAAUGAUUUUAUAUUUUCUGAAUUUUAUACUUAUUUUAUUAAUUAAAUA